Molecule: ribosomal RNA, 301 nt
Filed under: uncultured bacterium
Lineage: Bacteria
Description: partial 16S ribosomal RNA
Rfam family: Bacterial small subunit ribosomal RNA
Source: RNAcentral
CAGCCGCCGCGGGAAUACGAAGGGUGCAAGCGUUAAUCGGAAUUACUGGGCGUAAAGCGUGCGUAGGCGGUUUGUUAAGUCUGCUGUGAAAUCCCCGGGCUCGACCUGGGAAUGGCAGUGGAUACUGGCAAGCUAGAGUGUGUCAGAGGAUGGUGGAAUUCCCGGUGUAGCGGUGAAAUGCGUAGAGAUCGGGAGGAACAUCAGUGGCGAAGGCGGCCAUCUGGGACAACACUGACGCUGAGGCACGAAAGCGUGGGGAGCAAACAGGAUUAGAUACCCCCGUAGUCCCUGUCUCUUAUAC